RNAcentral lists this ribosomal RNA (253 nucleotides) under uncultured bacterium. RNAcentral's name for it is "partial 16S ribosomal RNA". It matches the Rfam family "Bacterial small subunit ribosomal RNA", at positions 524 to 776 of the family's 1533-position model. The record is from RNAcentral.
UACGUAGGCAGCAAGCGUUGUUCGGAGUUACUGGGCGUAAAGGGUGUGUAGGCGGUUUUCUAAGUCUGGUGUGAAAUCUCCCGGCUCAACUGGGAGGGUGCGCCGAAAACUGGAAGGCUAGAGUGCGGGAUGGGAGAGUGGAAUUCCUGGUGUAGCGGUGAAAUGCGUAGAUAUCGUCAAGAACACCUAUUGCGAAGGCAGCUAACUAAGCUUUAACUGACGCUGAGGCACGAAAGUGUGGGGAUCAAACAGG